ACCACAAAUCCGAAGCCCUCAAGCGCAAGAUUCACACCCUCGACAACUCCACCUCGGACUCCCUCCGCCUCCUCGACCACCGCGAAACCUCUCUCGACGCCACUCUCCAGAUCGCCCUCCGCACGCUCGACACGCGCCGCACCGCUGCUCUCUCCGCCCUCCUCCACGACGCUGACGACACCUCCCCCGACGGCGAGGUCGAUGACACCGCCGGCCUCGUCCUCAAGCUCAAGUCCUUCUGCCUCCGCAUGGACGCGUUCGGCUUCUUCGCCUUCGUCAG
Molecule: long non-coding RNA, 280 nt
Filed under: Glycine max (soybean)
Lineage: Eukaryota; Viridiplantae; Streptophyta; Magnoliopsida; Fabales; Fabaceae
Description: long non-coding RNA (GMAX_LNC004615)
Source: RNAcentral